Molecule: transfer RNA, 74 nt
Filed under: Alphaproteobacteria bacterium
Lineage: Bacteria; Pseudomonadati; Pseudomonadota; Alphaproteobacteria
Description: tRNA-His
Rfam family: tRNA
About the family: Transfer RNA (tRNA) molecules are approximately 80 nucleotides in length. Their secondary structure includes four short double-helical elements and three loops (D, anti-codon, and T loops).
Source: RNAcentral
GUGGAUGUAGCUCAGCAGGUUAGAGCGUCAGAUUGUGGAUCUGAAGGCCGUGGGUUCGAGCCCCAUCUUCCACC